UGGAGAGUCAGGUAAAUAUGGUAACCCUACACUAGCUGGGGAGGGCUCUGAGUUACUACAGAGAAUUCUUUCCCAGGCAUCUGUCUGGUGGGUCUCGCCCACAUUCUCAGGGUCUCACUGGUCACCAGCUUUGGGGUCAGGAAGGAAUUUUCCCCCAGCUCAGCUUGGCAGAGACCCUGGGGAGGUUUCAUCUUCCUCUGCAGCCUGGGGCACGGGUCACUUGCAGGUUUGAACUAGUGUAAAUGGUGGAUUCUCUGUCACUUGACGUUUUUAAACCACGAUGUGAGGACGUCAGUGACUCAGCCAGAGGUUUGGGGUCUGUUACAGGAGUGGGUGGGUGAGGUUCUCUGGCCUGUGAUGUGCAGGAGAUCAGACUGGAUGAUCGUGAUGGGCCCUUCCGGCCUUCAGGUCUACAAGUCUAUAGGGCUGUGUGUGCGUCUGGUGGGUGGGCAGGAGGGACACAAGCGUACAGGCCAGAGAUCAGCAGAUGAAUCCCGCACUGCUGGGGUGGCGACGACAUAGGUGAAUUUUGAGAGAAUUUUGAGAGUCUAGGCGUUAUUCUCCCCCUCCAUAACGAACGGGUCUAAGAACAACCCCAUGACACCUGCAUCUGCCAAACUGAACAGGCAGUUGGAGGCUCCCUGCUUCAGGGCAUUGUGGGAGAACCGUUAGAAAACAGUAGGGAGUUCUGGUUGACUCGAGCAGCUGCUGUGGGGUAGAUACAACGUGUCUCACAACCGAUUACUCUAGCCAGGCAAGGACAAAUUCGAGAGCUGGAUAAGGAAAGAGGGAGGGGCGAGAACACAAUAGGUUGUGCACUGAAACCAAAACCCCCAUCAAAGAAACUCCACGCUCCCCAGCACGCCCUGUUCUGUUCUCCUCCGGGGCCGGGAUGGGAGAGGGAACGAAUUCCGUGUCACUGACAGGUGCUCAUUUCAUGCACCAAUGAGGAGAGGAGAAGAACCGAAUUUAUAUGGUAACAUCUGGAGAUUUGUUGGGAACACAGCCCCUUUGCCCUGGGAGUUUUAUAGAUAGAGUUAAGUCCCUUCCCCAAGGAGCUUGUAGUCUGAAUAGACACAAAACAGACCAGGAGCUGGGGCCGUGGCUAGAACAUGCAAGUGAAAAUAGUGAAGAAUGGAAUAGCCUUUUAGUGAUGUGGUUGGUUGUGAUUGGCUGAAGUCUCAUACGUGUCUGUUACUUACCUAGCUAAGUUUAAUGCAGCUGCUGUCUGAUCUGUUUUUACCCCUAACAGUUUUAGUUUCAUUCUACUUCUAGGAUACGAAAGUUCCCCAGUUAAUUCUGUGUGACAGGCCCGGCUCUGUGUUUAAUCACAAUCCGGGGGCUGGGGGCAUAAAUUUAGGGCUACACACGCCCCUCAAUGCACAGCGAGGUUCCCGCUAGUGUCAGUGGCAGUCUGCAAGGAGAUGAAGGGGAAAAUCUGUUCUUGAUGAAAUAGCUUAAUUCUGAGUUAUAAUUUCUGUGGGUGCCUGUUCCGCCUCACUCACUUGUGUGUGGGGAGCCAGGCAGUUUAUCCCCCCACCGCCCAUGGAAACGUGAUUAGAAUUUUUCUCCCCCCAUGUCGACAAGGCUUUAAUCACAAGGUCACCCUCUGACUCCAAUAAGGCCUCAAGGGCAUCAGCUGCUACCCUGGAUACAAGGAGGCUCUGUUCCCCCUCGUUAGCUCAGCGGUGCGGGAAGAAGGGCUAUUGGGUGCUGGGCUCUUUGGAAAAUCCAAACCCCAGGGGUGGGUUCACUUUCUUUGCAGCUGCAGCCCAUUGCUUACUCACUCAAUUUGUAACCCACUCGCACCCCCAGCUCCUUUUCAGCAGUACAACCCCCGAGCCAGGUAGUCCCCAGUUUGUAGUUGUGCGUUUGAUUUUUCCUUCCCGUGUGCAGUAUUUUGUGCUUGUCUUUACUGAAUUUCAUCUUGUUGAAUUCAGACCAAUUCUCCCAUUUGUCAAGGUCGUUUUGAAUACACAUCCAGCCUCCAAAGUACUUGUGAUCCUCCCAGCGUGGUGUCAGCUGAAAAUUUUACAAGCACCUGAGACAGGACCGUGGUGGAUGCCACUAGAUCCAUGUAGACGUUCCUGCCCUGAAGCUCGGUGAGAAGGUGUUGACGUACCCUGGGUCAUUACUCAGCGCCUGGAACCCGCCCACUUUGCAGUGAUGAUGCAGGCGAAAUCAUCUUGGAACUGUUAGCGAUUAUCUUCAAGAUCUCAUGGAAGGGUCACUGACCUAGUGGAGAAGCAGGAGACGUGAUAUAUCUUGAUUUUAUUACAGCCUUUGACCUAGUCCCACGUGACAUUCUCACAAGCAAACUGAGGAAUGUGGUCUAGAUGAAAUUACUAUAAGGUGGGUGCAAAACUGGUGGAAAGUCUGUGCUCAGAGUGGUUAUCAGUGGUUCGCUGUCCAGCUGAGAGGAUGUAUCUAGUAGGGUUUAGCAGGGGUCAGUUGUAGGUCAGGUGCUAUUCAUCAUUUUCAUUAAUUACCUGGAUAAUGGAGUGGAGCGAAUGCUUAUAAAAUGGGAGGCUGAUCCCAAGCUGGGAGGGGUUGCAAGCACUUUGGAGGACAAGAUUGGAAUUCAAAAUGACCUUGAUCAAUUGGAGAAUUGGUCUGAAAUCAGCAAGAUGAAAUUCAAUAAGGACAAGUGCAAAGUGUUACACAUAAGAAGGAAAAAAAUUAAAUUAACAAUUACAAACCGGGGAAUAACUGGCCAGGUGGUCGUAGUGGGGAAAAGGAUCUGGGGGUUCUAGUGGAUCAAAAACUUGAAUGUGAGACAACAAUGUGAUGCAGUUUCAAAAAAGACUUGAAUAUCAUUCUGGGAUCCACGAAUACGAGUGCCGUGUGGAAGACCGAGGAGGUCAUUGUCCAGCUCGGUUCGGUGCUGGUGAGACCUCAUCUGGGGCACUGUGCCCAAUUCUGGACAUUAAGAAAGAGGUAGAAAAUUUGGAAGAGUUCAGAGGAGAGCAACACAAGUGAUAAAAGGUUUAGAAAACCCGACUUUUGGGAAAGGAUGAAAGAAUUGGAUGUGUGUAGUCUUGAGAAGAGAAGGCUGAGUGGGGACCUGAUAACAGCCUGCAAAUAUGUUAAGGGCUGUUAUCAAGAGGACUGUGAUCAAUUGUUCUCCAGGGCCACUGAUGGUAGGACGAGAGGUAAGGGGCUGAAUCUGCAGCAAGGGAGAUUCAGGUGCAAUAUUAGGAAAAAAUAGAACUCUCAGAGGAGUGAAGCUCUGGACCAGGCUUCCAGGGGAGGUUGUGGAACCCCCGUCACUGGAGGUGUUUAAGACCAGGUUGGACAAACACCUGUCAGGGACGGUCUAGGUUUACUUGGUCGUGCUCAGCGCAGGGGGCUGGACUUGAUGACCUGUGAGGUCCCUUCCCGCCCGACAUUUUUCAGAUCCUAUGUUUGAUGAACUGGUUCUUUGAGGUGUUCAGGGGCAAUUUGCCUCCUUGGACUUUUACUUUUAAGCAUUGUCAAUCCGAAAUAUUUGUUGGCUGAAAAUGGGGUCAGCCCCGGCUCUGGCUGCCGUUCCACCCUGGCUCAGUAAAUGCACAGCACGUAACAAUGGCUCCAAAGCUAAAAGCCUCCAAGGCCCAUCGACGCGAGAGACUCAAGUUCAAUUAAAGGUCUCGCUCCACCAAUCUCACCUGAAAACGUCUGGGAGAAAGGAAACUAGGUCCAUGAAGUGAGAGUGAGGUGAAAGUUCCAGCAUUUAGGAACUGUGAUUGUAACCAAGGCCAACUCAGCCACACCUUCCUCAUUAAACCAGCACAAACUAGUGACAGAGGAUGUGGAAAAAGCUAAUGUACUCAACCCUUUUUUUUGCCUCUGUCUUCACAAACAAGGUCAGCUCCCAGACUGCUGCACUGGGCAGCACGGC
This is a non-coding RNA of Chrysemys picta bellii (western painted turtle), 3880 nucleotides long. The record is from RefSeq and is a predicted model, not a curated record. Lineage: Eukaryota; Metazoa; Chordata; Testudines; Emydidae.